This 1438-nucleotide ribosomal RNA is filed under the name uncultured organism. Its description in RNAcentral is "partial 16S ribosomal RNA". It matches the Rfam family "Bacterial small subunit ribosomal RNA". The record is from RNAcentral.
UCAGAACGAACGCUGACGGCGCGUCUUAAGCAUGCAAGUCGAACGAGAAAGUAUCCUUCGGGGUACAAGUAAAGUGGCGAACGGGUGAGUAACACGUGGGUAAUCUGCCCUGAAGUUGGGGACAACUCGCUGAAAAGCGUGCUAAUACCGAAUGAGAUAGUCUUUACAUAUGUGAGGAUUAUGAAAGGUUUCGGCCGCUUCAGGAUGAGCCUGCGGUCUAUUAGCUAGUUGGUGAGGUAAAUGCUCACCAAGGCUACGAUAGAUAGCCGGCCUGAGAGGGUGUACGGUCACAUUGGAACUGAGACACGGUCCAGACUCCUACGGGAGGCAGCAGCUAAGAAUAUUCCGCAAUGGGCGAAAGCCUGACGGAGCGACGCCGUGUGGUUGAUGAAGGCCUUACAGGUUGUAAAAACCUUUUAUUCGAGAAGAUGGGCAAGCCUCGAGCUUGCUUGACGGUAUCGAACGAAUAAGCCCCGGCAAAUUACGUGCCAGCAGCCGCGGUAAUACGUAAGGGGCUAGCGUUGUUCGGAAUUAUUUGGGCGUAAAGGGCGUGCAGGCGGACUAAUAAGUCGGGUGUGAAAUCUUAUGGCUUAACCAUGAGCUAUUGCUCGAAACUGUUAGUCUAGAGUUUGGAAUAGGGAGACGGAAUUCCUAGUGUAGGAGUGAAAUCUAUAGAUAUUAGGAAGAACACCGGUGGCGAAGGCGGUCUCCUGGUCUAAAACUGACGCUAAAGCGCGAAAGCUAGGGUAGCAAACGGGAUUAGAUACCCCGGUAGUCCUAGCCGUAAACGUUGCAUACUAGGUGUAUGAGGUGUCGAUCCCUCAUGUGCCAAAGCUAACGCAUUAAGUAUGCCGCCUGGGGAGUAUGCUCGCAAGAGUGAAACUCAAAGGAAUUGACGGAGGCCCGCACAAGCGGUGGAGUAUGUGGUUUAAUUCGAUGCAACGCGAAGAACCUUACCUGGGUUUGACAUCCUCGGAACCUUCUUUAAACGGAAGGGUGCCCUUCGGGGAGCCGAGUGACAGGUGCUGCAUGGCUGUCGUCAGCUCGUGCCGUGAGGUGUUGGGUUAAGUCCCGCAACGAGCGCAACCCUUGAUCUUAGUUGCCAGCACAUAAUGGUGGGCACUCUAAGGUGACUGCCCGGGUCAACCGGGAGGAAGGUGGGGACGACGUCAAGUCAUCAUGGCCCUUACGCCCAGGGCUACACACGUACUACAAUGGCGGAUACAGAGGGAAGCAAGACCGCGAGGUGGAGCCAAUCCCAAAAAGUCCGUCCCAGUUCGGAUUGGAGUCUGCAACUCGACUCCAUGAAGGUGGAAUCGCUAGUAAUCCCGGAUCAGCAUGCCGGGGUGAUACGUUCCCGGGCCUUGUACACACCGCCCGUCACACCACGAAAGCUGGUUCUACCCGAAGCCGGCGAGCCAACCUUAGGGAGGCAGUC